RNAcentral lists this long non-coding RNA (621 nucleotides) under Mytilus galloprovincialis (Mediterranean mussel). The record is from RNAcentral. Lineage: Eukaryota; Metazoa; Mollusca; Bivalvia; Mytilida; Mytilidae.
CCCACCUACGAUAGUAGAGGGGCAUUAUGUUUUCUGGUCUGUGCGUCCGUUCGUCCGUUCGUUCGUUCGUUCGUUCGUCCGUUCGUCCGUCUGUCCCGCUUCAGGUUAAAGUUUUUGGUCGAGGUAGUUUUUGAUGAAGUUGAAGUCCAAUCGACUUCAAACUUGGUACACAUGUUCCCUAUGAUAUGAUCUUUCUAAUUUUAAUGCCAAAUUAGAGUUUUGACCCCAAUUUUACGGUUCACUGAUAGAAAAUGAUAGUGCAAAUUUCAGGUUAAAGUUUUUGGCUUCAGGUUAAAGUUUUUGGUCAAGGUAGUUUUGAUGAAGUUGAAGUCCAAUCAACUUGAAACUUAGUUAUACAUGUGCCCUAUGAUAUGAUCUUUCUAAUUUAAAUGCCAAAUUAGAGUUUUGACCCCAAUUUACGGUUCACUGAACAUAGAAAAUGAUAGUGCAAAAUUUCAGGUUAAAGUUUUUGGCUUCAGGUUAAAGUUUUUGGUCAAGGUAGUUUUUGAUGAAGUUGAAGUCCAAUCAACUUGAAACUUAGUAUACAUGUGCCCUAUGAUAUGAUCUUUCUAAUUUAAAUGCCAAAUUAGAGUUUUGACCCCAAUUUUUACGGUUCACUGA